UAGGGAAUCUUCCACAAUGGACGCAAGUCUGAUGGAGCAACGCCGCGUGAGUGAAGAAGGUUUUCGGAUCGUAAAGCUCUGUUGUUGGUGAAGAAGGAUAGAGGUAGUAACUGGCCUUUAUUUGACGGUAAUCAACCAGAAAGUCACGGCUAACUACGUGCCAGCAGCCGCGGUAAUACGUAGGUGGCAAGCGUUGUCCGGAUUUAUUGGGCGUAAAGCGAGCGCAGGCGGAAGAAUAAGUCUGAUGUGAAAGCCCUCGGCUUAACCGCGGAACUGCAUCGGAAACUGUUUUUCUUGAGUGCAGAAGAGGAGAGUGGAAUUCCAUGUGUAGCGGUGGAAUGCGUAGAUAUAUGGAAGAACACCAGUGGCGAAGGCGACUCUCUGGUCUGCAACUGACGCUGAGGCUCGAUAGCAUGGGUAGCGAACAGG
RNAcentral lists this ribosomal RNA (429 nucleotides) under bacterium. RNAcentral's name for it is "partial 16S ribosomal RNA". It matches the Rfam family "Bacterial small subunit ribosomal RNA", at positions 355 to 776 of the family's 1533-position model. The record is from RNAcentral.